This 460-nucleotide ribosomal RNA is filed under the name uncultured bacterium. RNAcentral's name for it is "partial 16S ribosomal RNA". It matches the Rfam family "Bacterial small subunit ribosomal RNA", at positions 338 to 795 of the family's 1533-position model. The record is from RNAcentral.
CCUACGGGAGGCAGCAGUGAGGAAUAUUGGUCAAUGGGCGGGAGCCUGAACCAGCCAUGCCGCGUGAAGGAGGACGGCCCUACGGGUUGUAAACUGCUUUUGUAAAGGAUUAAAUUGGGAAACGUGUACUUUUUUGAAGGUACUUUAUGAAUAAGGAUCGGCUAACUCCGUGCCAGCAGCCGCGGUAAUACGGAGGAUCCAAGCGUUAUCCGGAUUUAUUGGGUUUAAAGGGUGCGUAGGUGGGUUGUUAAGUUAGUUGUGAAAGUUUGAGGCUCAACGGGAGAAUUGCAUUUGAUACUGUCAGUCUUGAGAACAGAUGAGGUAGGCGGAAUGUGUGGUGUAGCGGUGAAAUGCUUAGAUAUCACGCAGAACUCCGAUUGCGAAGGCAGCUUACUAAUCUGCCUCUGACAUUGAUGCUCGAAAGUGUGGGUAUCAAACAGGAUUAGAUACCCCUGUAGUC